This 240-nucleotide ribosomal RNA is filed under the name uncultured bacterium. Its description in RNAcentral is "partial 16S ribosomal RNA". It matches the Rfam family "Bacterial small subunit ribosomal RNA", at positions 524 to 764 of the family's 1533-position model. The record is from RNAcentral.
UACGGAGGAUGCGAGCGUUAUCCGGAUUUAUUGGGUUUAAAGGGUGCGCAGGCGGAUUUUUAAGUCAGCGGUCAAAUCGUGGGGCUCAACCCCAUCCAGCCGUUGAAACUGGGGAUCUAGAGUGUGCGAGAGGUAUGCGGAAUGCGUGGUGUAGCGGUGAAAUGCAUAGAUAUCACGCAGAACCCCGAUUGCGAAGGCAGCAUACCGGUGCACAACUGACGCUCAGGCACGAAAGCGUGG